AUAAGAUUUUACCAACCCAUUUAAGAGGUAAGAACUGCAAUCUCUCACACACUUACCUGGGAAUCAUCCCAGGGGCUAACUUCAGAGUAAACCUAGAGAGAAUUGGAUAGCAAAUAGCCUGAAGUGGAUUGGGCAGGGCCCAAGGCACAUUAGGUUUAUUUUGUAGGAACAGCAAGCCUCCCAGUUUAUCAGCAGUGCCCAUUACUAUUGCAGAAAUGUGCAGAAUGUGCUUGCAGCAGCUGAAUAAUGAGAUCUCUCUCUAUAUAUAUUUGUUUUUUCAGUACCAACCUCAUGUCGGUUUCAAAAUAAAUACUACCAGGUGAGCUGAAUUUUCUCUCUCACAGCGAGAGUUCUGAAUAAAAGCUUUCAUUCCUGACCCUGUCGCUUGGACGCACAGCAAGCACUUCAUACAAGGCAAUGUUCUUUUUUGUUAGCAUUCAGUGUUGAAGGCCAUUUUCUAGAAUCAUGUGGCAAACAAAUUGCCGGUAGCUGGGGAUGGGAGAUAAUUUUGAUCACCAUUAAAAGCUGCUCCUGCGGUAUAAGCAUAAUGAAGCUGUGAUCCGAAUUGUGAUUCGAAACUGCAGUUGUAAGAAUCACAAUUUUGAGAGAACAGGAUCAGCUGAAUUAAAUCGUGCUGAAUCGGGCUUUGGGGCCCACAGUUUUGCUCGGAGGCAACGCCAACAUUGCUACCUUUCGUUAUUUGGGUUUUCCAGACUGGGGAAACAUUUACUUCCCCCUUUUCUUCUUCUUAAAACCUAGCCUAUCCAAGAAAUACAAAGAAACUGCUGUCCCUUGAGGCUCAUAGUCCUUUAUUUCUUGUGCAAGUUUAAAAUUCUCUUUGGGCAUUUUCUAGAAGUAGUAGAGAAAACCCUUUUGUGAUAAAUCAGAUAAAAUCACAGUACAAGAGCAACAGUUAUUUUAUUUUAGUGUUUUGUUGGAAGCUGCCCAGAAUGGCUGGGGAAACCCAGCCAGAUGUGCGGGGUAUAAAUAUUAAAUUAUUAUUAUUAUUAUAGUUCAAAAACUUAGCUCUUUACUGAAGCUCUUUCACGUCGUCCGAUGCUUCAGCUGUGUUUACUAUCCUUACUAGGUGUAAAUGAAUGUAAGCUGGUUCCGGUGAAGGGAACAGUUAAUGCAGACAGCUACAAAGGCCAAAUCCUGAUGGCAUAGUGUGUUGGGGAAUGCCAAAA
Podarcis lilfordi (Lilford's wall lizard) is the source of this 1187-nucleotide non-coding RNA. NCBI's taxonomy places the organism in Eukaryota, Metazoa, Chordata, Lepidosauria, Squamata, Lacertidae. The record is from the annotation of a GenBank genome assembly.